Molecule: long non-coding RNA, 2252 nt
Organism: Helianthus annuus (common sunflower)
Lineage: Eukaryota; Viridiplantae; Streptophyta; Magnoliopsida; Asterales; Asteraceae
Exons: 4
Source: RefSeq, a predicted model, not a curated record
CGAUCCACAUCUUUGUAAAAUCCUCUUAUGUAAUGGGAUACAAAGCCUUUUACUUGUGUUCAAUAGGGGUGUAAACGAGCCGAGCCGAACCGAGUGAGCCAAGGCUUGAGCUCGGGCUCGAACAGAAAUGAGCCGAGCCAACUUGGCUUGGAAAAAAUCAAACGAGCUGAAUGUAUAGGCUCGAGCUUGGAUCGAAGAAAUCUCGAGCCAGCUCGAAGCUCGUUAAGCUAGCUCGCAAAAAUUGUAUUUUUUUUUAAUUUAAACCAAUUGACCACCCAACUAAAAUGGCCUAUGGGUAUAAAAGGUUUAAAUAGCCAAAAGGGUCAACUUGGACUAGUAAUUUUUAACUUAAGGGGUUCUUCGUUUAUAGAUAGUCUCCCCUCUAUAUUCUUGUUUCUAAUAGCGAGGUGGGACAAAGUUUUAAUCCAAUCCUGCCUCUUCUUUUAUAGCUAAUCCAACCUUUUCAUAUAUUAAUUCAAGGUCGAUGCGGGACUCCUUUUUUAAACCAAACCUGCAUAUUAAUUUGUUGCACAUCCAUGGAUGUACAGUUUUGAACUUUCUUAUGUUUAGUUAAAUGCAAGCUGAGACUUGUUAGUAUCAAAAUUUUCACAUAACUUAUUUAAUAGUAUAUCAAUGUGGCAAAUAAAUCAAGCUUUUUUUUUUUUUGAACGGCAAACAUUACAUAAACACUCCUCCUAAAUUACAUCAAUUCUACCCCAUGCCAGGAUUUGAACCCUGGUCUCUCCCCAAGAGGCGCAAAGCCUCUACCACCCCACCAAAGUGGUGAUGGCAAAUCAAGCUAUUAAUAUGGAAAAAUAUGGUCUAUGAGUGGUUGAAUGCUACUACAAAGAUAAACGGUAAUUAAAUCUAUAAUACUAUAUAAAGGAAAUGUAACGUACAGAAUUGUAAUUUUACAUCGUAUACAACUUUUAAGCAAUAAGUACAAAGGAUUGCAACACAGUUAAGAAGGAUAGAAUAGGAAAUACACCAAUAUUUUAAGACACUCUAAGGGUAAGAUAGUAAAUUUAUCUAUACAAUUUUAAUGUUAUUCCACCUUUACCCUUUUUGACUCUUCCGUGGUUCCCAUCACAAAACCUCUUAUUCAAUGUCCAAUUCAACGUUGCCAUGGAAGCAUCUCCCCUUAAAUUGGGAUUUAAGGGUUCAAAAACUAUAUCCACAAUCAUUCAAAACAAGCGUCUCUUUGUUUCCCCUGAACUGAAAGAGUGGGAGGCACCAAAUAGAAAACUAACCUAAAUGGAUUCUCAAUCGAUCUAAAAAUUGAAGAUGCACCAGAUGCUCUGUACCGUUGCCGAGAUCUCGACAGAUCUGGGUUUCGUAUUUGGCCGAUCAUUAACAAUGUUCAAGAUGUGGUGGUUCUUCAAGCCGAAUCCAACUGAAAGCGUCGGCUCUCCCAAAUGAAGGAUCUGAUACACCUAGCUUCAAAAAAGUCUUGCUGUUGAAACCAUCCAUAACUGGCUACACGGUCUCUGUGGAACAAAAUGAGCUUACUUUUAAGCCGGAGAUAGCUGGUAAUGACAUGGUUGCUAAUGAAACCUCUUGCCUGUUGGCUGGUCUCCGUGAAAAAAUGCCCUGUUUUGACUGGUGAUAACUCUUGUUCGUCAACCGACCUUUGUGAAAAAUGUCCUAUCUUGAUUGCAGAGUUACCAACCGCGAAGGCAUCCCAAAAGAAUUUUAUAGAGUGGGGAAAGGAUCAAGUUUAUCAGCUUUCUGAGAAAAACCAAUGGUUUAUAGAAGAGGUUCUGAAAGAGAGUUUGGUCGAAGACAUUGAGAAAUUGUUUGAGAUGAUUGAUUGGGAGAAGUUGUUGCUUAUGUUACCUUUUUACCAGCCUAACAACCCAGUAACCAUUGGAGUCAAAUUCUGUGUGCCUGUUAUCUUCUUCAUUUUGAAGUACAAAAAGUUGUCCUCAAUGAAAGGUGUUGAGAAGAAAAAAGAGUAAACAAGAAAGACGUAAAUAAUAAAUAGUAUCAAGUAUAUGUUUUCGUUAGAAACUUACUGCCACAGUGACAUUCAGUGAAAAAGUAAAUAAAUAGUAUGAAGUAUAUGUUUUGGUUAGAAACUUACUGCCACAGCGACAUUGAGUGAAAAAGUAAAUGUUGGAGGUACAACAUGUUAAAACGUUACUUAGGAUGCUUUGCACAGUAAAAAGUUGUCUAUUCUGAUUCGAAAUAUUCUAUGACAACAUAUAGUCUGUAGAGUUUAUUGUUGAAACAAGAUUACAAGAUUAACUGAA